This 105-nucleotide non-coding RNA is filed under the name Exophiala spinifera. RNAcentral describes it as "Eukaryotic large subunit ribosomal RNA". It matches the Rfam family "Eukaryotic large subunit ribosomal RNA", at positions 2661 to 2763 of the family's 3401-position model. Lineage: Eukaryota; Fungi; Ascomycota; Eurotiomycetes; Chaetothyriales; Herpotrichiellaceae. The record is from Rfam by way of RNAcentral.
UCCUAAGGAGGUCUCAUCGAGAACAGAAAUCUCCAGUAGAACGAAAGGGUAAAAGUCCCCUUUGUUUUUCUUUUUUCGGUGUGAAUACAAACCAUGAAGGUGUGG